This is a non-coding RNA of Glossina pallidipes, 92 nucleotides long. The record is from Rfam. NCBI's taxonomy places the organism in Eukaryota, Metazoa, Arthropoda, Insecta, Diptera, Glossinidae.
GGAGAUAGUUUUUAGUACGUAGACGCCAUAGAUGGCGAAUCGUGCAUGUUCCUACUAAGAACCAAUAGUGUCUCUUGAAGAUUUCUACCUCC